CGAACUCGUCCCAACAUCCUGUCACCACAUACUAAAUGUUUAUAAAUUAUGAAAGUCAACGCCACAUUCUCAAUUCAUUACUCGAGCUGGUUAAUCAUACGUCAGAACACUUUGGUAUCUCAUCGAAGUAACAUCGUGCUCUAAAGAGUGUAUUCCAGAGUCAUUUUUAACUAAAAAUCUAUUAGAAAUCUCAAAAUUAUUGUUUUUUGAGUGUGUGCCUUGACAGUUUUUUAAUUUGUGAUACCAGCUUAUUGAUUGGUUUCUGAAUCCUAGAAGAAUAUUUUAUUAUUUUCGAAGAAUUUAUUCAGAAUUACGAUGUUUCGCUUGAUAUUUGCACUAGCUUUUCUAUUACAUAUACGUGGAGAUGAAAAUUCACCCUACGAGUAAUAUGCUACUACCUAUUAUGAAUCCUAAACCAGUUGAACCAAUCGAAUUACUAGAGAUGAUAUUCUGUGGAUGUAAAACAAACUGUAACACAUCCCGAUGUUCGUGCAAAAAGGCUGGAAUAAAAUGUAGUUACAGUUGUAAAAAUUGCAAUGGCCAAAACUGUGAAAAUGCUUCAAAUUCGCAUAAGGUCAUACUUGAGAGUGAUACAGAAGAGCGACAAGAUGAUAUAGAUGAUAUAGAAGAUAAUGAAAAUCUGUGGAAUGAUGAAAUAAAUGAUUUUCAAGAAGAAGAAGUUGAUGAAUCACAAACUGAAAAUUAAAACAUUUUGCUGAAAAAUUCUGUCAAUUCUAUUUACUAGAAUAAUAUAACCAUUUUAUUAUAUAUUAAAUUUUUACAAUAAUCAUAUUUAUUUAAAUUUGGCAGUUUUAUCCUUGUAUUAUUGAUGUUGCUUCAUAAUAACAUUAAAAAAUGCUAUCGUAAAUUUUUCAACAAUAAUUUACUUACAGCGUCAUUGGUGCACCGGUUAAAUCAAAUUUGGGAUGCAAGGUAAUGCCAUUUUUCUGCUCAUUGGAUAGCUAUAUUGGACGCAUUCAAGCGCGGCUCGGUUUCCGCCGUCCCGCCGCUGCGCGCGGAGAGAGCGGUGGCGGCCAUGUCGUCUGCGCGCUCCCCUCUCCUGUCUCUACACCAAGCAAAUUUCUUUUUCAUUAAUUAUCUCGGAACUUUGCGCUCAUCGGAAUCGAGUAAAAAAUCGUUUCCAAUACAAAAUUUAACGCUCUUUCCAUUGAUGCCAGCCAUUUUUUCAUAGGUCAAGCCGAUCUCGAGAUAUAAGCAAAAAUAACUUUCGCACGCUGUUUUCGCAUAGAACCCCUCGUUCUAGGAAGUUGCAAAUUUCAGAAUCGGUUUUUCCGACCCCGAUUUACCAAAAAUGCAGCCAUUUCUACCGCAGGGCGAUUUCACAGCUAAUUUUACUGGACUAUAUCUUCGAAUAUUCAAAUUGAUUUUAUAUAUCAUCUGGAUUUAAGUAUAUUGCUCCAAAACUCCGAAAAUCUUAUGGAAACAAAUUUUGUAUACAUAUGAUUUAGCAUGUAAUUAUCAUGUGUAAAAUAUUAUCAGGUAAAUAUCUCAAAUUACGUGUAACUCAAUUCUAUUUAUAACGUACUUCUUCCGUAUGAUUAUUAUUUAUUCAUAAAAGUAAAAGAGGCAACGGCUUUAACUAUUAUAAUGCAAUUAAUCAUUUUAAAACAUUUGCAGUUUAUUGAGGUUUGAUACUAAUAUAAUAUUAUCUUCCGUGGUAGUAUAAUCUAGAUAUCUACUUUACCAACAAUCGUUUAUAGUAGUAGUAAAAAUAUCUAUAUCUGGUAGUUCGAGAGGUUUUGCGGCUUAUUCGGUGGCGGCGACCAGAUGGCGGUGAGCUAGAUCUUCUGCUGGCGCGCAUUAUAUUAUAAUCUGCCAAAAACUUGAAUAAUAGUUCACUUGGUUUAAUAAUUUAUAGAUAUAUCUUUACGCAAUAAUUUUUUUUGCUGAGAAUAAAAACAAUCGACCAUAACUUCUUUGUAAAGGCAGAUUAGCUGAUUAUAGUCUAGACUUUGCAUUAUAUAUUUUUCAAAAAGAUUCUUCGAACAUCCAUUUUCAAAUUUAUUUCUAUCUGUGACGAGUGAUUAAUUUUCAUGCCAUACCACCCUUCUGCUUCAAACUUAUAGACCACGAGAGCAUCAGGAACUGCGUAUAAUCUUAAAUAAGCAAAAACCACAUGUGUUUUCCCAUAUAAGGCGUUCGGGUGUCGAACGCGCGAAGAUUUUCUAGCAGAUAGCAGAAUUGUCGAGAGCGCAUACAAAUAAGACUACCGGAACGCGCUAAAAAGAAAAAUAAUAAACCCCUCGAAUAGAUAAAAAAUAUCUCUUUCAGCCAGCACUUCCAGCCAAGCAUCCUCUCUCUCCUUGCUUCAAUGUGGAGAAUAAUAUGUAAUACGAUUUCUAUGCUUUACGUAAUACACGUAAUGAGAAUCAGAGUUUGAUAAGGGCGACAUCCGCAAAUAUUCUGAUGUGACUUCUUGACAAAACGACUUGAAUUUCAUAUUUUCGUCUUUGCAAAAUAGUAUAUUCGUAAUGAAACUGCGACUAAAGAUAUAGCCGUAGCCCACGUGCACGGGGUUGAGAAAUUUUGUACGUCUUCCUCGCACUGUUCGUCUCAUAGGAAGAUCCUUCGAAAGGUUUGUGUACAGAUAAUUGUGUAUGCAUACACGUGCGUAAAGGGUUGCGACUUAUACUUCGCGUGACAUCGGGUUGACGAGGCGGAGCGAAGUUAAUGGCCAGCGAGAAAGGAGCUGUUCGAGUUGCAGGACAGAGAUUUAUGAUGCGCUACUACAUGUAUACGCUGUCGUUUCGCUGUUUAGGGAAGCUGAAUAAGCAAAUCAAGCGUUUAUCGAUUUGAAAUUUUGAGAAGUGCUCAAGAUAAAAUAAUGUGGGUGUAUGCUUGUAUCUUCCGGUCGCGCAGGAGAUAAGACCGUCUGAUGCACUGUGAUGAGAAUCAAAACGCUGCAAUUUUCGUGCACUGCGAUAUUGGAUAUUAAUUUUAUUUUAGCAAAUAAUAUUGUCGUGUCCGAGCCUGAACGCGAUUGCGCGAUUCGAACACCAAGAAUCGCGCAUAGCGACCUUAGCAACGAGAUCAACGACAUCGCGGAUGUUAUUGUUUAUGUUUAGUCUGGUUUUGUCAGCUGUUGAGAACAAUUGUGUUUACGUUCGAAUAAAGAGUCCGAGUUCAAGAGUAAUUUUCUAUAAAUAA
Nasonia vitripennis (jewel wasp) is the source of this 3168-nucleotide long non-coding RNA. RefSeq lists it as uncharacterized. The transcript has 5 exons. NCBI's taxonomy places the organism in Eukaryota, Metazoa, Arthropoda, Insecta, Hymenoptera, Pteromalidae. The record is from RefSeq and is a predicted model, not a curated record.